RNAcentral lists this small RNA (968 nucleotides) under Pongo abelii (Sumatran orangutan). RNAcentral's name for it is "retained intron". The record is from RNAcentral. Lineage: Eukaryota; Metazoa; Chordata; Mammalia; Primates; Hominidae.
GGCGCGAUGAGGUUCCGGUUCUGUGGUGAUCUGGACUGUCCCGACUGGGUCUUGGCAGAAAUCAGCACGCUGGCCAAGAUGGUUGAGUGCACAGGGUCUAGUCUGGGUGGAGGAGGGGUGUUGGGCUGGGGAUUGUGGGUGUAGAGGAUGGUGAGGUUUCUCUGGGGUUAGGCCCUCAGUGCUCUCAGCCUGUGCUACCAUGCUUUGUGACCUUGAUCAGUGGCUGGCCUGCUCUGAGGCUGUCCCCAGGAAGGAGGGGUGAGGUUUGCCAGCCUGGCUGAUGUAAGGACUUCCCUUCCAGUCCUCUGUGAAGUUGCGGCUGCUCUGCAGCCAGGUACUAAAGGAGCUGCUGGGACAGGGAAUUGAUUAUGAGAAGAUCCUGAAGCUCACGGCUGACGCCAAGUUUGAGUCAGGUGAUGUGAAGGCCACAGUGGCAGUGCUGAGUUUCAUCCUCUCCAGUGCGGCCAAGCACAGUGUCGAUGGCGAAUCCUUGUCCAGUGAACUGCAGCAGCUGGGGCUGCCCAAAGGUACGGGUUGUGGGUGGGCAGCUGGGCAGCCUGUGGGCCAAGGGCUGCUAGAGAGGGGGACGGACCCUGAGGUGUACCCUGCCCUGUUUGGGCCAGGAGCCCAAGCUCAGCUCCCACCUGCUACCUCCAGAGCUACUCCAUUCUACCCCCAGAGCACGCGGCCAGCCUGUGCCGCUGUUAUGAGGAGAAGCAAAGCCCCUUGCAGAAGCACUUGCGGAUCUGCAGCCUACGCAGUAAGUAUGAGGCCAGCCAGGGUCCGGGCUCAUUCUAGAAGGUGCACGCAGCACGCAAAGUGCAUGGAGAGUCCAGGGAGACGACUUAACCAUGGUCACAUGGUUACUAGCAGCCGUAGAGCUGGGACCUGGCCCUGGGUCUCCUGACUCCCCCCAAGGUUUCUUGUCACUGAGGUCUGCUGUGGGUGAUCCAAACUUAUUAUCGGGC